Long non-coding RNA from Aethalodelphis obliquidens (Pacific white-sided dolphin), 8167 nucleotides. RefSeq lists it as uncharacterized. The record is from RefSeq and is a predicted model, not a curated record. Lineage: Eukaryota; Metazoa; Chordata; Mammalia; Artiodactyla; Delphinidae. The transcript is spliced from 3 exons.
GCAUGUGGGAUCCUCGCGGACUGGGGCACGAACCCGCGUCCGCUGCAUCGGCAGGCGGACUCUCAACCACUGCGCCACCAGGGAAGCCCUACUACCGGACUUUGCAGGAACUACAGGAGGGACCUAACCUGAGAACAAAGCCUCCCACAGGAAAAGAGUCGGACCUCCGUAAUAGGAACCAGAGAGCCCCAGACCCAGCCGGUGCUCGAGAUGCUCCAGCCCAGCCUGUUUAUCUUGUGAGCUGCGGCAGCUCUGUCCCCGUGUGAUUACAUCUUUCCUUGGUAAUGGGGUUUUGACUGGCCUUUUGUAUAAUGCCGAGCCACCAUGGGACUGGAAUAUUCUCCCCUUAUUUUUAUCGGGCGCUUUUAUUUCCUGAGCUGUUUUGUGAAGUGUGCCUGUUUCUGGUUUUGCUCCUGGUCAGGAAAGGGGCCCAGGAUUCAGGGAGAAGAUCAGAUGCCCUGGUGUGUGAACUGGUCUUUCAAAGAAGGAAGCAGGAGUUGAUCACCUGCUGAAGCUCAGGGCCAAUGCAGAGCUGCCUCCCAAGAGGCCAAUCAAUUUCAAUUAAGGAGAUUAAAAGCCCCGAGCGCAGGGAGGGCUGGUCACGGGCUUCUGAAUGCCUUGCUUCUCCAGCAGCCUGAGAGCAGGCCAUGGGCCCCAGAAGCGCUGGACGGUGUCCUAUGGGCCAGUGUCAAGAUGGCAGUGAGGGGUCAAAUGCAAAAGGAGAAGCUGGCUGAAGGGGCUCGUGAUUCUUCAGGGGCCCUAGUGGCAUUUGGGGCAGGACGGACCUGUCAGUGUCCUCAGCCCCAUCAAGUAUCCAGUGUCCCUAGUCACUGAGCUGUCCCAACUCAACCCAGCCCAAUCCCCACCCCCGCUUCCUGGUGGGACCACCCUGGGCUCCCGGCAGCUGCCUCUGAUCUGCUGUGUAGGUGAAGGGCAGGCCUUCUGCGGCUUCCGGGUGGAGAGCUGGUUCUCCUCGUCUGGACCCUCCUUCUCCACUGGGCAUCCCAGAGGCUCUGUGUCUGCUACCUUUCCGAGCUGCUCGGGCAUCCUAGAGGCCACACCCCCGAGGGGUAAGGGCAGAGGCCAGAGUGGGACGUCUGGUGGAGGAGAGGGGCUUUGGCAUCACACAGACCCAGGGCUGAGCCCGCCUCUGCCCCUUACUGGCUCUGCGUUGGCCCUGAGUCAGCACGUGACCAGCCUGUGCUUUUUUUUUUUAAAAACCAGUGGACACCCCAGGGCAUCCAAUCUGUGCCCAGGCAACCAAGUGAGCCUCACUUUCCAUGUUUAUAAAAGGGAGCUCUCCACCCCGGGCUCACAGGAAGAACGGCCUGUACCUACAGUGUCUGAUGUCCCCAAGCCCCCUCUGAUUGUGGUGGCCCAGGGUAGACAGGGGACCGGAGGCAAAAAUUACACUCAGCUCCCCAGACCUGGAGAUUUUUGUUCAGAAGCCAAUAAAUCAACAGCAUCGCGAGGAUUCGAUGCACGUGCUUUGUACGCUGUAAGCGCUAGGUAGGGGUCGAAGGGCGGGGGCGGGAGAACUGGGGCCGUGGGAAGAGAGUGCACAGGAUGCAGGGGAGGAAGGAGGAAGGAACCUCCAGGAGGGGGAGCGGCCUGAGGCUGAUGGGAACCACGGUGUCUGUUAGGCAGGAAAGAGAAGCCAGGUCCAGCUUCGCGGGCAGCAGCAACUACAGAGACAAGCACAGACUUUGCUGGGAAGCCCAGGAGGCUGAAGCCGCCGUCCCCCCGGCCCUCGGGGGUGAGGUUCCCUCGAAGGACUGGCUGUUCGUCCGGGGGGGUCUCUUCCUUCUAUCGGCUGCUUACCCUUCUGGCUACUUUCCUAUUAACAAGACAGCCUGGGGAAGGAAGGGGGCGGGGAGGGAGGCUCAUUUCAGGCCAUUUGGCUUCUUGUUUAAUCUAAAGGACAGGAUGGCCACUGUAGAAAGUGACCUUAUCAAGAAGGAUGGGGUCACAGAGCUCCAAACCCUUGUGGGGAACCAGGUACAGGGCGGGUCACAGACUUACCCAAGGUCACCCUCGUUAACAGCAGGGCCAGUCUCCUGCUGUCCUGCUACACCCCCCAGCCUCCCGGGCCUGCUUUCAUCCCUGACCUACUUCUCCCAGGAUAAUUGAGAAAUGAGUGAUGGGAGCUGCAGGCUUCUGCUUGCUGUCGAGAGCUGGGUGGCUGUUCAUAAACUUUUAAAGCAUCUGGACCUUUCUCUAAAACAACAACAAAAUCAGUCUCAGGCACGUUGCGUUAUAUAAAAAUGGUCUUAUUCUUGAUACAAAUUUAUUUCACAAAUGCAGAGAAGUGGAACGUACCAUUUGUACCGAAGAGGAGGAAAUGAUUGCUAUAAGGAGAUUUAAGGUUGCUAAGAAUGGGGUAGGAGAGUUUCCAAAAGGAAUCCCACCUCGAGGUGGGACUGGCUUUGUGGGAGGGAUGGGAUUAUGACCCCCAGCCCUUCCUUCCUGAGAUGGAGACCUGAGGGAUGGCACGAGGGCAGGUUGUGGCCCCCAAGUUAGGCAGUAGGAAGGGGAUGGCGUGUGAUGUGUCCUAGGACCUGCCUUCAAACCCAGCACCUUGUAGGGACAGGUUUGUGUCCUGGGGAACUGGCUUUGUCAUGUCAUGUCAUGGGAACCCUGCCAAUUUUGUUAAGGACCCAAGGGGGGAAAUGCUGCCAGUAAAGGAAGCGCCAGACGGCAGGAGGCUCAGCCUCAGCAACAGGGCCUUGGGUUGUCAGUAGCAGAGCCAGAGUCUUUGUCCGUUCGGGUUGCUAUAGUAAAAUACCACAGACUGGGGGGUUAAACAGCACACAUUUAUUUCUCACACUUAUGGAGGCUGGAAGUCUGAGAUCAAGGUGCCAGCAGACUUGGUUCCUGGUAAGGCCUCUCCUCCUGGCUUGCAGACGGCCACCUUCUCGCUGUGUCCUCACAGGGCGGAGAGAGAACACUCUGGUGUCUCUUCCUCUUAAAAGGGCACCAAUCCCAUCAUGGGGGCCUCACCCUCAUGACCUCAUCUAAACCUAAUUUCCGCCCAGAGGCCCCACCCCCUUAUACCAUCAUACUGGGGGUCAGGGCUUCAACAUGUGGAUUUUGGGGGGGACACAGACAUUCAGCCCAUAACACCUGGGCUCCAUGCCUCCCCAUCAUCUCUUUGUCUCCCUAUUCAUUUAUGCUGGCCUCUGAGCAGUGCUUCUCAAGGUGUCCAUGGUAAGGAACCAGUUUUUUUUUUUUUUUUCUUUUGGCCGCCCCCCUCAGUUUUCAGAAUCCUACUUCCCCGACCAGGGAUUGAACCCAGGGCCAUGGCAGUGAAAGUGCCGAGUCCUAACCACUGGACCGCCAGGGAAGUCCCAAGGACCAGUUUCGUUAUUUGCAAUGAAGUAUGAUGUGUGCUGAGAAAAAUGAGAUGAUUGUAUGAAAUACAAGCUCAUUUUCUUUUUUAUGAUUGGGUUCCAUGCCCUAGCAUUGCUGUUGAAUUGGCAUGAAUGCCCCUGAAUGCUCCUGCUUGCUUUCUGUCUCCAUCUCAUUCUGGAGCAGGGACCGAACGAACCUUUGAGGGCCUCCUGCUGCAGACCACCCUUUCAGUGGCGCUGUUUAGAGCUCCAUAGAAAGUACGCCAUCAGCCAUGGAGAGGUGUUAUCUGAAGCUUCCAGAGACAAAAUGUCAUGAGCCCCAGCUCAGCAAGGUCCUCACUGGGCCUUUUCACCUUUGUUGUCUUGGGAUGUGUGGGGUCUGUAAGGAGGAUGGUAAUCUGGUUGCCUCUCUCUCAAUGGCAUUCUGAGGUAGCAGAAGCACAGGCCUGAGUCGGAGAGCGGAAGGCAAAUCUACCUCCCCCACUUGCGAGCUGUGUGAAUUUGGGGUGAGUGAUUAACUGGUAUGUGCCUCAGUUUCUCCAUCUAGCAAAUGGAGGUGAUGGUAGCUUCCCCUCAGGGAGCUUCCCCUCAGGGAGGUGAAGAUUAAGUGAGACGUGCCUGAACUAGGCACGGUGCCCCAUCCCUCUCUCUUCCUCCUUCCUCUGAAGAAGGGCCCCAGUGCAGAGGUAGGACUCUGCCCCAGGGGAGAGAGGCGUGCGCUUGACAAGAGCAGAGGGUCGUCUUUCACAAAAAUCACAGGAUGUCCGAAAAGAGGGUCUGAGUCAGCACAACUGGGAAUCCAGACAGGAAUGAAGAUUUCCCUGGAGAAAAUUUCCCCAGCAAGAGCACUGGAGCAAGAAAGGUCGGAUGUCAGACCGGUUGACCAGAUAGCUCAAAUCCUGCAUUCAGAUUUUCUGGGGGAUGAUGCUCUGACCAGAGAGGAGACUGACCUCCAUGGUAUCUAACAUAAAUACGAUGUCUGUGAGCACUGUGGUUUCUGGGUUUCGCUCAGUAAGCCUCAAAAGCACGAUCUUGGGGCAUUGAGAUGAAUGUCACGAGACCCGGGGCCUGACGCUCAUCAGCAGCAGAGUGGCAGCAGAGGGCCCUGUAUUCGUUUGCUCAGGCUGCCGUAACAAAGUCCUGCGGACUAGGCCGUUUAAACAACAGAAAUGUCUUGUCUCACAUCUGGUGGCUAGAAACCUGAGAUCAAGGUGUGGGCAGAGUUGGCUCCUGCUGAGGGCUGUGACAGAAGGGUCUGUUCCAGGCUUCUCUCCUUGGCCUGUGGUUGGCUGUCUUCCCCCUGUGUCUUCACGUCGUCUUCCCGCUGUACGUGUCUUGUGUCCCAAUUUCCCCUUCUUAUAAGGACACCAGUCAUAUUGGAUUAGGGCCCACCCUAGUCAUGUCACUUUAAAUUAAUUACCUCUUUAAAGGCCCUAUCUCCACAUACAGUCACAUUCUGAGGUCCUGGGGGUGUAUGGAUGCAACAUAUGAAUUCUGGGGCCAAUUCGGCCCGUUAGAGCCCUUGAACCAACUGGGCUCAAUUUCACCAGCAGAGAGAUAAUGGGUGCGCCUGUGGUUUUCCAGAUUUCUCCUGAUUUUAAGCAGAUUAAGGUUCAGCCCAGAAUUGUGCAUCAACCUGCCACAUGCAGCUGAAUGUGUGACUUAGGCCAUGUCAUCUUUCCAGGUUAAAAUUUAUUUAUAAAGCACAGAUAAUGAAAAUAACGUCUAUUUAUCUCCCUAGGUGUUCUGAGCCUUAAGUUACAGAUGCAGGGGUGAUGCGUUACAAAACCAAACAAAUCAGUCCUUAGGACAGGCGACUCAGGCAAAUCGACCAUCCCCACCACAACAAAAGAAGCUUUCAAACCCACAAGACAAGACAAGAUUGUAAUGCCUUCCUAACAGCAUUGCUUUAUUGACGCAAGGCAAGGAAAACGACAUUAAAUUCUAUUGAUUCUCUUUGAGAUCUAAUAAUAUGCUUUAUUCAGAUCUUAUUCACAUCCCUCUUCUUCCAUGGGUCUAUCUCAGGAGCUGACAUUGGCCAGUUACAAAACAGAAUUGGUUCUGCUGUCAUUGGAAGUCACAGAGGCGAAUGUGUUUUCGAACACAAAAUCUACCAUGCUUUCUUUGGGAAAUAAGGCACAGCUGGAAAAAAAAAAUCUCACUUCAAAACAAAAUUGAAAGCAUGGCUAACUUGAGAUUUAUUUGAUUAGUCUUUCUCUGGGCUAAUCAGUUUUAGAACCCAUUCCUAUUGGCACCAAUGCGCCGAUAAAAUAUCCAGCAGGAGAGAAGUAUCACAUCACUCAGAGAAACAAGGUUGUUCUUUUUUUUUUUUUUUUUUUUCGGCGCCGGGGCCCCUCCAGAGCCGGCAGCCUCAGUGAGGCCGCCCUCCCCUCGGCCUCCGGGGCACUUCCGUGACGGCGGAGGGAAGAGACCCCGAGCUGCGGGAGUUCCAGCUCUGUGGAAACGCGGGCUCCGUUCUGGGCGCAGGGGGUGGGACCCGCUUGUUCAUUUUUUAAAAAAGCAUUGAAUUAAUGUUUACACUGCUGAGUCAAGUUAUUUAUACAUAUGCUAUAGGUUUUGCAUCUCCAGAAUAUGUUUGCAUUAACAGUAUGAUAAAUUGUACCUGACUUACUUGUGAAAAAUCAUCUUGAGAAAGGUUUUUUUUUCCCUGGGAAAAUAUGGAAAUGACACAUGGUGUGUACAGCCAGAAACACUCAGCAGAAGGAGAGGCGGGUUUUUAGCUGUCGCAAUGGAUGGUUAAGAAUUUCGGAUUUGGGUCAGUGUCAUUACGCUCAAGUCACUUCACCUCGAAACCUCAUUCUUCAUCUCCAGAAUAGGUUCCAAACUCAGUGUUUUCUGUAAAUAUUCAAUAGGAUAAUACACGCACAGAGUUCGACAUUAACCCUCCCAGAGGCCAAUAAGAAUCCAAUAAAUGCCAACUUCUCUAUCAUAUUCUUACAGAAGAAUGCUUGCCUGCUUUACCUUUCGUCUGUGGAAAAAUCACAAAAAGGAUUAAGUUUGUUGAAAAGAAAGGUGGGUCUUGGGCCCCCUUAGCACACGUUUUCUCCAUCCUUUCUAAAAAGUGAUGCUAACAAGCGAACAGGUGUUAUAGGGAGAAGGUGGAGUAACCAGAACAUUCCUACUUUGCUGGUGGGAAUGUAAAAGAGUGUAGACCUUUUGGAAAACUCUUUGGUGGUGCCUCAAAAGUUAAACAGAUAUGGCCCAACAGUUCCACUCCUAGGUAUAUACUCAGGAGAAUUGAAAACAUGCAUUCAUACAAAAACUGGUUCAUAAAUGUUCACCGCAGGAUUAUUUGCCGUAGUGGAAAGGUGGAAAGACACAGCUCAAGUGUCUAGCAACUAAUGAAUGGAUAAACAACAUAUGGGACAGCCGUGCCAGGGAAUUUUAUUUGGCAACAAGGGACAGUGAGGUACGGACACAAGCUACAACAUGGAUAAACCCUGAAAACAUGAUGCUGAUGGAAAGAAACCAGUCGCAAAAGGCUACAUACAGCAUGAUUUCAUUCAUACGGAACAUGCAGAAUAAACAGCUCUAUAGAGAUAGAAAGUAAUUCGUGGUUGCCUAGGGCUGGGAGGGAGGGCAGGAAUGGGGAGCGACCGCUAAUGGACACAGGGUUUCUUUUUGGAAGGAUGAAAAUUUUCUGCAAUUAGAGAGUGAUGAUGGUCAUACAACUUUGUGAAUAUUCUCAGGACGCUGAACUAUACCUUCUAAAAUGGUGAAUUUUAUGCUUUAUGAAUUGUAUCUGGAAAAAAAAAUCAAUGAAUGCUUAAUGUGGAAAAUAAGAAAACAAGGAAACAAAAAUUGUCAUUGUAGCAUCCAGAGAUAACCACUGCAAAUGCUUUGACGUAGAUCCUUCCAGACUGAUGCAAAUAUAUACAUUUAAAAAAUAAAAUAAAAUGGGAUCAUACCAAACAUACUGUUGAGUGAAAGGUUUUUUUUUUUUGUAUUACUGUUACUUUUCCCCUCGAUAUUAAGAAAUUGCCUCUCUAAACGUAGGCGGCAUCCACCUCAGAGUCUUCUCAAAUGUCUUGCCUUUCCACUUUCCUCGGCCAAGCCGUGCUUCUUCUCUUUCCAAAGCUCUUCUUAGGACUUUUCAAGCGAAUCUAUUCGCCUUGGAUCACCAGAGUGCUUUCAGUUGCUUCCUGUCACAGCUUGACCUGUUACAAGCUAUUCAUUCAUAUCCAUGAUUUCAGUGGAAUUGUUCCCUAAACCCAUAUUUCUACCUUGACCUCUAUUCCAUACACUAGUCCUGCAUCUCCAAAUGCCUACUGGAAAUUCCCACUUGAACAUUCAUCACUGACAUUAUCAUAAGACUAAACUCGAACUCAUUAUAUUUUUCAAUGCCCCAGCCAGGCACAGCGGAAGAUUUGAAUUUUGAAGUGGACGUUCAUGCCCACACUUGACCUUUCUCAUUCAAGUCAAGCUUUUUAGAAGCCGUGGAAACCUACUCUGGCUAACUUAGAAAAGGUAGGUAUGGAGGGAGAUGGGGUAGCUCACACAAUAGGCAGGGGGGAAGGCCGGGGAACCAGUUGGAAAAAGGGCAGGAAAAUGGCAUUCCGGGGGCUGCACGGCAGUGACCACAGCCAGGUCGGCCCCCGAGCGAGGUCUGGGCCAGUGCCUGCUGCUGGUACAGGCAUCCCUGCCGCUGCUGCUGGGUAUGCUAAUGGUCCCGCGUCACUCUAGCAAUUGCUCAGAGUGAAGAGAGCAGUCAGAUAUGGGACAGUGUAAAGAAAAACAAGUGCCUAUCCACUUAGUCCUGGUUUCCUUAAACCAAGAAAAAUGGAGAUCAUUUUCCU